GAAAGCUGCUUACAUUAAAAUUAAAAGCAUGGUGAGUUUGGUGGGGUGAGUGGGAAGCUGCAGUUGCAGUUUACAAAGUACCUAAAUUGGAACAGAAGUGCACUAAGAUAAAGACCCUACAAUUGGACCAACCCAAACUUAUCUUUACAUUUCGACCUAAAAUCCACCAUCACACAUUUGAGUGGAUACAUUUUAAUCUGAAGAUACACUUUGGUAUUUCACUCCGUUUUCAUGCUUAGGAGAGUAUUCCACACCAAUACCAUUAGUGGCAGAUAGUUUUGUCCUAGUCUCCACAUAGUUUCCUGCCAUAGAAUCAAACAAAAUGCCAGCGCCAAUACCA
This 340-nucleotide unclassified non-coding RNA is filed under the name Hevea brasiliensis (rubber tree). Lineage: Eukaryota; Viridiplantae; Streptophyta; Magnoliopsida; Malpighiales; Euphorbiaceae. The record is from RNAcentral.